Molecule: unclassified non-coding RNA, 146 nt
Filed under: uncultured fungus
Lineage: Eukaryota; Fungi
Description: sequence contains ITS1, 5.8S rRNA gene
Source: RNAcentral
CUGAGUGAAGGGCUCCGGCCCGACCUCCAACCCCAUGUUUUCUCACCUUGUUGCUUCGGGGGGUGACGCCGUCCCGACGGCCGACGCCCCCGGAGAACCACUAAACUCUGCAUCAUUUGCGUCUGAGUAAAUUUUAAAUCAAAUUA